GCACCCGUAGCUCAAUUGGAUAGAGCGUCUGACUACGGAUCAGAAGGUUGGGGAUUCGAGUUCUCCCGGGUGCACCA
RNAcentral lists this transfer RNA (77 nucleotides) under Planctomycetota bacterium. RNAcentral describes it as "Planctomycetes bacterium tRNA-Arg". It matches the Rfam family "tRNA". From Rfam's summary of the family: Transfer RNA (tRNA) molecules are approximately 80 nucleotides in length. Their secondary structure includes four short double-helical elements and three loops (D, anti-codon, and T loops). Further hydrogen bonds mediate the characteristic L-shaped molecular structure. tRNAs have two regions of fundamental functional importance: the anti-codon, which is responsible for specific mRNA codon recognition, and the 3' end, to which the tRNAs corresponding amino acid is attached (by aminoacyl-tRNA synthetases). tRNAs cope with the degeneracy of the genetic code in two manners: having more than one tRNA (with a specific anti-codon) for a particular amino acid; and 'wobble' base-pairing, i.e. permitting non-standard base-pairing at the 3rd anti-codon position. The record is from RNAcentral. Lineage: Bacteria; Pseudomonadati; Planctomycetota.